This 414-nucleotide ribosomal RNA is filed under the name uncultured bacterium. RNAcentral describes it as "bacterial SSU rRNA". It matches the Rfam family "Bacterial small subunit ribosomal RNA", at positions 29 to 433 of the family's 1533-position model. The record is from RNAcentral.
AAUGAACGCUGGCGGCGCGCCUAAUACAUGCAAGUCGAGCGAGAAGACGUAGCAAUACGUUUGUAAAGCGGCGAACGGGUGAGGAAUACAUGGGUAACCUACCCUCGAGUGGGGAAUAACUAGCCGAAAGGUUAGCUAAUACCGCGUACGCUCCUUGGACUUCGGUUCAGGGAGGAAAGCGAUACCAUGGGUAUCGCGCUCUUGGUUGGGCUCAUGUCCUAUCAGCUUGUUGGUGAGGUAACGGCUCACCAAGGCUUCGACGGGUAGCUGGUCUGAGAGGACGAUCAGCCACACUGGCACUGCGACACGGGCCAGACUCCUACGGGAGGCAGCAGUAAGGAAUAUCGCGCAAUGGGCGAAAGCCUGACGCAGCGACGCCGCGUGGGGGAUGAAGGUCUUCGGAUUGUAAACCCC